Molecule: ribosomal RNA, 497 nt
Filed under: uncultured bacterium
Lineage: Bacteria
Description: partial 16S ribosomal RNA
Rfam family: Bacterial small subunit ribosomal RNA
Source: RNAcentral
GAUGAACGCUGGCGGCGUGCCUAAUACAUGCAAGUCGAGCGAACGGACGAGAAGCUUGCUUCUCUGAUGUUAGCGGCGGACGGGUGAGUAACACGUGGAUAACCUACCUAUAAGACUGGGAUAACUUCGGGAAACCGGAGCUAAUACCGGAUGAUAUUUUGAACCGCAUGGUUCUAAAGUGAAAGACGGUCUUGCUGUCACUUAUAGAUGGAUCCGCGCUGCAUUAGCUAGUUGGUAAGGUAAUGGCUUACCAAGGCAACGAUGCAUAGCCGACCUGAGAGGGUGAUCGGCCACACUGGAACUGAGACACGGUCCAGACUCCUACGGGAGGCAGCAGUAGGGAAUCUUCCGCAAUGGGCGAAAGCCUGACGGAGCAACGCCGCGUGAGUGAUGAAGGUCUUCGGAUCGUAAAACUCUGUUAUUAGGGAAGAACAUAUGUGUAAGUAACUGUGCACAUCUUGACGGUACCUAAUCAGAAAGCCACGGCUAACUACGUG